CACUCAAUAACUGUUUGCGGUGUUCUUCCGGUAAAAAAGAAGGAAUUAAAAAGGAACCGUGUGUAAAUCACGGGCUGACGCGCAACUGUAAGUAACCUCCCGGGUUAUGGCCGGCAUAUGUCCAUUGUCGGGUACGUCUGCAGACGUACAGACGAGAAGGACGGUCAUAACUGUUACAAGCCAGGAUACUUGCCACAGACAGAUUGAUGUA
RNAcentral lists this non-coding RNA (211 nucleotides) under Chitinophaga pinensis. Lineage: Bacteria; Pseudomonadati; Bacteroidota; Chitinophagia; Chitinophagales; Chitinophagaceae. The record is from RNAcentral.